GGGAGCGCGGCCCGGGGUCGCUGGGGAGGCCGGGUCAACGGCCACUGACAUCCUCCCGGCGGGCUGCCGAGUCCUCAGUUCCGAGAGGAAACGAGAGGGAUGAGGGCCUUGAGUUGUUCCACCGACUGCGAGAGGGCAGGGAGCGCACAGUGUUUGCUCCAUUACUGCAGAUCGCCCUCGCCCUGUUAAAAGAUGCCCUGCAGAGACAGCCGAAGAGCAAGAAAGGACUUCUGGGCCUGUUCUGCGGCUGAAGUUGUGCCUUCGCUGCCUUUCAUUUAUCCAGCAUACUACUUGCUAGGUGUUGAGAGCACAUAGUGGAAUGGGACGCUAAAAUUGCUUGCAGUCUCCGACUGCUUAAAGCUGGGAAGGUCGUUACCACUGGUUCAAACCUAUUUUACAGAUCAGGCAGCUGGGGCUUACAGUGAUUAGUGAGGCGACCUUCCCACGAUGGCACAGCUCAGUAGUGGAAGAGCGGGGACUAGGUCGAGGUUUUGUGGCUUUUAGUCCUGCAUGUGUUUGGGGUGACUUUCUGCUGACUUAUACUGAACUCUGUAGACUGUAAGCUCCAGGUGAGCCAGGAGUAUUUCUAUCUAGAAGACUAUAUGACUUUACUACCUUACAUUCUGUAAAUGCUCAAUAAAGGUGCUCAAAAAA
This 654-nucleotide long non-coding RNA is filed under the name Homo sapiens (human). RNAcentral describes it as "novel transcript, sense intronic to ZNF367". Lineage: Eukaryota; Metazoa; Chordata; Mammalia; Primates; Hominidae. The record is from RNAcentral.